Peromyscus maniculatus bairdii (prairie deer mouse) is the source of this 242-nucleotide non-coding RNA. The record is from RefSeq and is a predicted model, not a curated record. NCBI's taxonomy places the organism in Eukaryota, Metazoa, Chordata, Mammalia, Rodentia, Cricetidae.
CCACUGAAUUGUGAACUUAAAAAUAGUUACAAUUGUAAAUAUUAUGUUCAUUUAAAAAAAUAAGGUGGAAUGUAAUCACCAUACAUUAUAUGUGUGUAUGAAAUUGAAGACAGCGAUGUUCUAAAAUAGAAAGAGGUGAUGGUGUCAUGGGGCUAUGAGGAUGCUGGACUAAAGUCUAUCGAACUGUGCAAACAGGCAAAUUGUAUACUAUAUGAAUUAUUUGUCAAUAAAGAUUUUAUAAA